This 550-nucleotide ribosomal RNA is filed under the name uncultured bacterium. RNAcentral's name for it is "bacterial SSU rRNA". It matches the Rfam family "Bacterial small subunit ribosomal RNA", at positions 355 to 896 of the family's 1533-position model. The record is from RNAcentral.
UAGGGAAUCUUCCGCAAUGGGCGAAAGCCUGACGGAGCAACGCCGCGUGAGUGAUGAAGGUCUUCGGAUCGUAAAACUCUGUUAUCAGGGAAGAACAAAUGUGUAAGUAACUGUGCACAUCUUGACGGUACCUGAUCAGAAAGCCACGGCUAACUACGUGCCAACAGCCGCGGUAAUACGUAGGUGGCAAGCGUUAUCCGGAAUUAUUGGGCGUAAAGCGCGCGUAGGCGGUUUUUUAAGUCUGAUGUGAAAGCCCACGGCUCAACCGUGGAGGGUCAUUGGAAACUGGAAAACUUGAGUGCAGAAGAGGAAAGUGGAAUUCCAUGUGUAGCGGUGAAAUGCGCAGAGAUAUGGAGGAACACCAGUGGCGAAGGCGACUUUCUGGUCUGUAACUGACGCUGAUGUGCGAAAGCGUGGGGAUCAAACAGGAUUAGAUACCCUGGUAGUCCACGCCGUAAACGAUGAGUGCUAAGUGUUAGGGGGUUUCCGCCCCUUAGUGCUGCAGCUAACGCAUUAAGCACUCCGCCUGNNGAGUACGACCGCAAGGUUG